RNAcentral lists this long non-coding RNA (3014 nucleotides) under Prunus dulcis (almond). RNAcentral describes it as "sRNA ncRNA". Lineage: Eukaryota; Viridiplantae; Streptophyta; Magnoliopsida; Rosales; Rosaceae. The record is from RNAcentral.
AUUGGACUAGACUACCUUAAAUAACCCCCACAACCCAUGUUUGGUGAAGCACUUCUUUAAGUUAAAUGAGACUAGAGAGUCCGGGCCCUGCGCUCCAUUGUGCUUUGCUUUUCUCUUCUUGUGCUCUAUGCUCUCACUCACUCAGGUUAGUUGUUCAACUCUCUUCCUUUCUUUCCACUCUUCUUCUCUAUCUCUCUCUUUAGUAUGCUAUUUCUUGGUUUGAUUUUGAAGUUUUGAUUAUGGGUUUGUUUGUUGUUAACUUAAUCUGAUAAGAGUUAUGCUUUUUAUUGGUUAAUUUUGGACGGAUUAUAAUUGGGUUUUUUUUAGGGUCUUUAAUUUUGAAUUGUUUUGAUCAUGAAAUUUUUGUUUGGAAUGAGAAAAUAUCAACAAAUUGAUGGAUAGAAUGAUAAACAUUUGAAUUAAGGUUGAACUAAUAGCUGAAAGUAGAACACAGAGCUACAAAGUUCUAAGUAGGGCUCUUGCUUGCUACCUAUAGAAGUUAUGUUGUUUGGAAUUCUCUGUUGCUGUGCGGAUAUAAAACUAACCCAGCAAAUACCAGGAGCCGUCAACGAAAGUUGCAAAAAAGAUUUUAUUUAUUUAUUUCAAUAGCAUCAAAUUAUGUGGAUGCUAUGAGCUUUUGGUUGGUGAAGUGAAUAAGCCAUAUGCUCUUUAUUUUUAUUUAUUCAAGAUGCUAUUUCUUUAAAACCAAAAAAAGGGUAAGUUAUUCCUCGUUUUGGUAAAACUCAUGCAUCAAACAGUAAAACGUAUAAAAUCCUUAAGAAGAAAAACGUACAUGCGGUGGAGUAAAUGAUAAAGUAAGUAACCAACAACUUUUCUUUUGUUAAAUGUGACAACAAACCUUUGUCUUUCGAAGAAAUUAUAAAGAAAAAGCAAAAGGUUGAACUAAUAAUUCAGGAAAUUUCUUUUAUUUCUUAAAUAGCUAGCGCAACGAGCACUCUUACAUAAUUAGGCUUUAAUUUAAUGAUAGUUAUCUUUGUUUAGCUAGACAUUCAAAGCCCAAUUCAUAGGAAUGCAACAUUCGGACUUCCUGGUGGGUGGAAUAUCUUGUUUACCAGUAUAAUACAUCCAACCAAAGAUUUUCAUGUUAAAUUACACCAACUUUACCAUUAUGAUUGAGCUAAGAACUAUGUGCAGAGAGGACACGAUAUAGUGUCCUAUUGUUUCCCUUAAUCUAAUAAUAUUUAGUUAGACUUUCAAAGACUGACUCAUAUGAAUGUAACCUUCAAACUUUGUCGUGGGUUGAUUAUUUUGUUUGCGUGUAUCAUAUGUCGAACAAAGAAUUUCAUGUGAAAUUGCUCCAACUUUACUAUUGUGAUUGAGCUAAGAACUAUGUGCAGAGAGGACACGAUAUAGUGUCCUAUUGUUUCCCUUAAUCUAAUAAUAUUUAGUUAGACUUUCAAAGACUGACUCAUAUGAAUGUAACCUUCAAACUUUGUCGUGGGUUGAUUAUUUUGUUUGCGUGUAUCAUAUGUCGAACAAAGAAUUUCAUGUGAAAUUGCUCCAACUUUACUAUUGUGAUUGAGCUAAGAACUAUGUGCAGAGAGGACACGAUAUAGUGUCCUAUUGUUUCCCUUAAUCUAAUAAUAUUUAGCUAGACGUUCAAAGACUAACUCAUAUGAAUGCGACCUUCAAACUUUGUGGUGGGUGGAUUAUCUUGUUUGCGUGUAUCAUAUGUCGAACAAAGAAUUCAUGUGAAUUGCUCCAACUUUAUUAUUGUGAUUUAGCUAAGAAUUACGUGUCGGGAGGACACAAUAUAGUUUCCUAAUUUUGUUUUCUUUAAUCUAAUAAUAGUUUUCUUUAUUAGCUAGACGUUCAAAGACCGACUCAUAUGAAUGCAACAGUCAGACUUUGCUGUGUGUGGAUUAUCUUGUUUGCAUGUAUCAUACGUCGAACGAAGAACUUCAUGCGAAAUUGCUUUGACUUUAUUAUAGAGAUAAAUGUUUUCAAAGGCAUGCGUAGGUGUGUGUUGGAGCUAGGUGAGAGCAAAUUGCCUCAGUAUUUAUAAUAAAUAAUGUUUUCCGUGAGUUCAGGUAUGCCCAUGAAAAAUUUAGAGCAUCUCCAAAGGAGAUGUCAAAUAUCAAACAUCAAAUUUAAAUUUGAUGGCUGAUGUGGCAAUUUGACAUUUACAUAGUUUUACAUUCCACCCGAUAUGUCAAAUAAAUAAUUAUUGUGAGAGUCAAAUCAUUUAAGAUAAAAAAAAUUAAAAAAGAAAAAUAAUAAAUGAAAGUAACAGCUAGCUAUCUUUUAAAAAUAAUAAAAUAUUCAUUUGACAUCUUGCUUUUGGGAUGCCAAAAAUAACAUCUCAACCUCCAGCCUUCAUUCCACAUUAGCUUUGACACAUCGGUUGGAGUGAUGUGAGAUGUUAUUUCUAGCCAUUAAAUGCCUAUGUGGCACUUUUGACACAUCGGUUGGAGAUGUUCUUAUAAGGUUAAGUCUUAAUUUAAAACGAUCCCUAAAAGUUGGGUACUUUUAUGUAGUUAACCCUUAAGUUUUAUAUUAUUUAAUUAUUUUUUAUAUUUUGAUUAGAAAAUAAACAAUUUUUUUAAUUAAAUUUUCAGUACACGUGGAGGUCAUUUUUGCAACAUCAACUUAAAAAGUGGGACCAAUUUUUACCACAUCAGCAGUUAACAGAAUUCUUAAUGGUCUUGUUAACGGAGGGGCUUGGAUGUAGGAUUUCUGUGAGUUUGGGUAUGAGUUUGCAGGGUCUUCAAAACUUGGGUGCCAACGUGAAAUAACCCCCAAAGUGCAACGGGUUUUAUGUAGUUGAUCUUUUAAGUAAGGAGUUUGAUAGAAAAAGCCGUUUGUACAACAACUCUAAUCAUAGCUCUGAUUGUAAUCCUUGUUUAAUCUCUUAUUGAAUUUAGCUACUUUGCUUCUGCUUACCCCCAACAAUGUCUUGAACUAUGGAGCAAGAUACAAUAUUGUCUUGAGGCAAUUCCUCAAUGCUCAAACAUUUAUAUAUGUCAAGAAAGAUUAAUUUUUUUAGAACCUGC